Molecule: long non-coding RNA, 1070 nt
Organism: Mercenaria mercenaria
Lineage: Eukaryota; Metazoa; Mollusca; Bivalvia; Venerida; Veneridae
Exons: 5
Source: RefSeq, a predicted model, not a curated record
UUUUCAGAAAUUAUUUAUGUGACAAAAAUGAAUACAAAUAAGGGGGUUAUGUCUUUCGAGCGUCAGUAAAUUGAUUUCUAACAUCACUGACCAUUGUGUAACCGGGUUGAAUUUAUUACAUUUAUAUUUAUUAACUCUCGGUUAAUACUUAAUCAUGUUCCUUUCCGAUUAAUCCCUGUUUGUCGUCUUUCUACUUUUACUUUCGGUUUUGUAGUUAUUUUUUUAUACCUUUUUUAUUUUUAGUUCCCGCGCUUUGGUCAUGUGAUUAGUCAUGUGGUAGUUUUAUACCUGUUGUACGUCAUUCUUUCGCUAUAACUGGCAGAGGUCAGACAUGUUUUAUAGAAAGAAGUGAAACGUUUGUCUUGAGUUUUCUAAACUCGGCUAGCAGUGUGAGGUGUAGCAUUUUAUCCUUUUGUAAAGUAGAUACAGUAACCGGAGCAAAGACAGAGAGACGUGGUGUGUGUCAUGUAUUGUUACAGAAAGGGUUUGAUCCCAUCAGAUCAACCUGAAAGGUUUUGGUAUCUGUCCAUAAGAAGGAAUAGUAUUUGGAAGAGUGCUGGUAUUAACUGUUAUCAACUGAUAAGACUGAUCAUCGAUAAGUGACCUGAUGGCCGACCGGACAAUAAAUUAUCAAGUGCUGUUUUCAUAUCGGAGGAGAUGAUUGCAUGUACGGGCAUUGGGCUGGGAAAAUCAAACCCUGGCGAUUAAACACCGACUACCCUAAAACCUGAUAAAAGUGGAAGACCUGAAAGACUAUGUGACAAUGUGGUGUAAAAAGAAGUAUGGUGCAGCGAACUGAUGCUAGGCGGAAUCUGGCAAUAACAGAAAGAAUUGGAUAUAUGUCAAUAAGUUUGCCAAAUAAGAACAAAUAUUCAGUGAAAAUGACUUCAGUGUAUACUUCUCUAGUGUUAAAUGGCAUUUAAUGGAAUAAUUCUUAUUUUGAAUUUUAUAUAUAUUUAGCAGAUUAGAAAGCUUCAAAGGUAUUUAUAUCAUUCGUUUCUAAUUUGUCAUGUAAAAAUCAUUUUCAUGUUAUUAUUUUGAAUUCUGUGAAUUAAAUAAUUUACAAAGAA